GAAUUUUAUAGAGGAAGUUCAGUUCAGUCAGAAUGGCAGCAUUCUCAUGGGUGUGUCCACCAAGUACAGUGGCAAGGGCAUAGACUUACUAAAUCAGUGAUCUUGGAUAAGUUACACAGUCUCUUUGAACUUCAGGUUUCUCAUUUCUAAAAACUGGUAUAAUAAACUGUCAUGAGUUAUUAGAAGUAAAAAACUUAUGUGCUUAAAAUGUCAAAUGUAUAGUGGAUACUCAGUAAACUCUAGUUCUCUUCUUCCCUUCCCUUGCAAUCCUAUAGAUCUCCCACUAUUGUUGUAUAGCAGAGCAGUCAAUCAAAUGUCACCUCAGAGCCAUCUGCAAUCAAGCCUGGAAAAACUACCUGUACAGAGAAACCAAAACUGACCCCCCGACAUGGUACUGUCCCUUGAGGAUGGACACCAAGCACCUGACAGCAAGGUGAUUCCAUCAGACGCCCCCUACUCGAAAAAAGUCCAUGAUUUAUCCUGACCAGGAUUGAUGGGUAAUUCAGAUAUGGGUUUGCCUUUCCUACCUACAGUGUCUCUGUAAGCACCACUAACUGACGGCUCACCAAUUGUCUAGUAUCUUUAUAUAGGAUCCUAACAAAUACCACC
This 609-nucleotide long non-coding RNA is filed under the name Callithrix jacchus (white-tufted-ear marmoset). RNAcentral describes it as "lncRNA (ENSCJAG00000077576.1)". Lineage: Eukaryota; Metazoa; Chordata; Mammalia; Primates; Cebidae. The record is from RNAcentral.